Molecule: ribosomal RNA, 468 nt
Filed under: uncultured bacterium
Lineage: Bacteria
Description: partial 16S ribosomal RNA
Rfam family: Bacterial small subunit ribosomal RNA
Source: RNAcentral
GACGAACGCUGGCGGCGUGCUUAACACAUGCAAGUCGAACGGAAAGGCCCUGCUUUUGUGGGGUGCUCGAGUGGCGAACGGGUGAGUAACACGUGAGUAACCUGUCCUUGACUUUGGGAUAACUUCAGGAAACUGGGGCUAAUACCGGAUAGGAGUUCCUGCUGCAUGGUGGGGGCUGGAAAGUUUCGGCGGUUGGGGAUGGACUCGCGGCGUAUCAGCUUGUUGGGGGGGUAGUGGCUUACCAAGGCUUUGACGGGUAGCCGGCCUGGGAGGGUGACCGGCCACAUUGGGACUGAGAUGCGACACAGACUCCUACGGGACGCAGCAGUGGGGAAUAGUGCACAAUGGGCGGAGGCCUGAUGCGGCAACGCCGCGUGGGGGGUGACGGCCUUCGGGUUGUAAACCGCUUUCGCCUGUGACGAGGCGUGAGUGACGGUAAUGGGUAAAGAAGCACCGGCUAACUACGUG